RNAcentral lists this ribosomal RNA (496 nucleotides) under uncultured bacterium. RNAcentral describes it as "partial 16S ribosomal RNA". It matches the Rfam family "Bacterial small subunit ribosomal RNA", at positions 28 to 506 of the family's 1533-position model. The record is from RNAcentral.
GAUGAACGCUGGCGGCGUGCCUAAUACAUGCAAGUCGAGCGAACAGACGAGGAGCUUGCUCCUCUGACGUUAGCGGCGGACGGGUGAGUCACACGUGGAUAACCUACCUAUAAGACUGGGAUAACUUCGGGAAACCGGAGCUAAUACCGGAUAAUAUAUUGAACCGCAUGGUUCAAUAGUGAAAGACGGUUUUGCUGUCACUUAUAGCUGGAUCCGCGCCGCAUUAGCUGGUUGGUAAGGUAACGGCUUACCAAGGGGACGAUGCGUAGCCGACCUGAGGGGGUGAUCGGCCACACUGGAACUGAGACACGAUCCAGACUCCUACGGGAGGCAGCAGUAGGGAAUCUUCCGCAAUGGGCGAAAGCUUGACGGAGCAACGCCGCGUGAGUGAUGAAGGUCUUCGGAUCGUAAAACGCUGUUAUUAGGGAAGAACAAAUGUGUAAGUAACUAUGCACGUCUUGACGGUACCGAAUCAGAAAGCCACGGCUAACUACGU